This 433-nucleotide ribosomal RNA is filed under the name uncultured bacterium. RNAcentral describes it as "bacterial SSU rRNA". It matches the Rfam family "Bacterial small subunit ribosomal RNA", at positions 30 to 507 of the family's 1533-position model. The record is from RNAcentral.
AUUGAACGCUGGCGGCAUGCCUUACACAUGCAAGUCGAACGGGUCCUUCGGGACUAGUGGCGGACGGGUGAGUAACGCGUGGGAACAUACCCAAAGGUACGGAAUAGCCUCGGGAAACUGAGAGUAAUACCGUAUGUGCCCUUCGGGGGAAAGAUUUAUCGCCUUUGGAUUGGCCCGCGUUGGAUUAGGUAGUUGGUGGGGUAAUGGCCUACCAAGCCGACGAUCCAUAGCUGGUUUGAGAGGAUGAUCAGCCACACUGGGACUGAGACACGGCCCAGACUCCUACGGGAGGCAGCAGUGGGGAAUCUUAGACAAUGGGGGAAACCCUGAUCUAGCCAUGCCGCGUGAUCGAUGAAGGCCUUAGGGUUGUAAAGAUCUUUCAGAUGGGAAGAUAAUGACGGUACCAUCAGAAGAAGCCCCGGCUAACUCCGUG